UGCCAGACUCCUACGGGAGGCAGCAGUGGGGAAUAUUGCACAAUGGGGGAAACCCUGAUGCAGCGACGCCGCGUGAGCGAUGAAGUAUUUCGGUAUGUAAAGCUCUAUCAGCAGGGAAGAAGAUGACGGUACCUGACUAAGAAGCCCCGGCUAACUACGUGCCAGCAGCCGCGGUAAUACGUAGGGGGCAAGCGUUAUCCGGAUUUACUGGGUGUAAAGGGAGCGUAGACGGCGAUGCAAGCCAGAUGUGAAAGCCCGGGGCUCAACCCCGGGACUGCAUUUGGAACUGUGUGGCUGGAGUGUCGGAGAGGCAGGCGGAAUUCCUAGUGUAGCGGUGAAAUGCGUAGAUAUUAGGAGGAACACCAGUGGCGAAGGCGGCCUGCUGGACGAUGACUGACGUUGAGGCUCGAAAGCGUGGGGAGCAAACAGGAUUAGAUACCCUAGUAGUC
This 449-nucleotide ribosomal RNA is filed under the name uncultured bacterium. Its description in RNAcentral is "bacterial SSU rRNA". It matches the Rfam family "Bacterial small subunit ribosomal RNA", at positions 329 to 795 of the family's 1533-position model. The record is from RNAcentral.